RNAcentral lists this ribosomal RNA (467 nucleotides) under uncultured bacterium. RNAcentral's name for it is "partial 16S ribosomal RNA". It matches the Rfam family "Bacterial small subunit ribosomal RNA", at positions 28 to 506 of the family's 1533-position model. The record is from RNAcentral.
GACGAACGCUGGCGGCGUGCUUAACACAUGCAAGUCGAACGGUGAAAGAAGAGCUUGCUCUUCUGGAUCAGUGGCGAACGGGUGAGUAACACGUGAGUAACCUGCCCCAGACUCUGGAAUAAGCGCUGGAAACGGCGUCUAAUACCGGAUACGAGACCGAGCUGCAUGGCUACUGUCUGGAAAGUUUUUCGGUCUGGGAUGGACUCGCGGCCUAUCAGCUUGUUGGUGAGGUAACGGCUCACCAAGGCAACGACGGGUAGCCGGCCUGAGAGGGCGACCGGCCACACUGGGACUGAGACACGGCCCAGACUCCUACGGGGGGCAGCGGUGGGGAAUAUUGCACAAUGGGCGAAAGCCUGAUGCAGCGACGCCGCGUGAGGGAUGACGGCCUUCGGGUUGUAAACCUCUUUCAGCAGGGAAGAAGCGAAAGUGACGGUACCUGCAGAAGAAGCACCGGCUAACUACGU